Polistes dominula (European paper wasp) is the source of this 763-nucleotide long non-coding RNA. The record is from RefSeq and is a predicted model, not a curated record. Lineage: Eukaryota; Metazoa; Arthropoda; Insecta; Hymenoptera; Vespidae.
AUCACAUUUCUAAUUCCAAGAAAAAAAGACAUUCUAAUUGGACAUGAAAGUUGGAAAAAAUGGGCAAUUUGUUGAAACUCGAAUUCCCAAAUGUAAAUUAUAAGAAAAUCGGUCGCAUGUGUUCAACUGAACUUUUAAUAACGGCAUUCACCGGUCUGGCACCGGUCCUGCUGCUGCUGCUGCUGCUGCUUCUAUUUAUCGCGAUCUCUCUGGAUCCAGAGACUGAAUCUUCUAUCCGGCCAGUUAACAUUCGCCUAUACGUUCCUCGUAUCGUCGUGAUAAUUGUCCAUUCGUAUGCAUUCGCGUGGGCGCAACUUUGUACUUCGUAUUUAUUCUAUACCACAGAGAAACUUUGACGAAGAAAAGUAAGGAAAAUGAAAGAAAGGAAGUGAUGGCAGUAGUACUGCUUGUGGAGGUGGACACAGAAGAAGAAAAAGAUAGAAAAUGAACACGAGUACUUGCUGCACUCGGCGAUGAAAUAGAGAGAAGAAGAAGAAGAAGAAGAAGAAGAAGAAGAUGAAAAAGAUGAAAAAGAAAAAGACGAGUACUCCAAGAGUCGGUAACGAUAAUUUCCAAUGGAAUAGACGACCAUUAAUCGAUCAACUUAUGCUCGUUCGAUGAAAAUGUUGAAAUUGCGUAGAACUAAUUUACUAAGUCGUCAUUUUGGAAUAACUCUUUGAUUUGUUGGUCUAUGCAUCGGCGUCCGGAAAGAAUUGACAGAGCGUAGCUCCGUCGCUGUGCUAGCUCCCUCGAUAUACAGGUU